AUUAAUAAUUAAUAUAUUUAAUAAAAAUAAUUUUAAUUUAAUAAAUAUUUUAAUGGGGGUUAAAGUAUUUUUUAAAGAAAAAAUUUUUAAAUUUAUAGUUAAUUAGUAUUGUGAAAGAAUUUUGAAAUAUUAUGAAAAAUAAAAUUUUUAGAAAGUAAUUUUUAUUUAUUGUAUCUUGUGUAUCAGAGUUUAUUAAAAAUUUUUAAUUUAUAAAUUAAUUUCUCGAAUUUAAAAGAGUUAAAUAAUUAUUAAAGUUAUUGUAGCAAAAUUAUUUUAAAUAAUUAUUUAGAAAUGAAAUGUUAAUCGUUUUUAAAUAUAUCUAGUUUUUAUAGAAAAAAAUUUAAUUUUAAAUUUAAAAAUUAUUUAAUUAAUUUAUUAAUUAAAUAAUUAUUUAAAUUUUAUAAUUUAAGGGAUAAGCUUUAAAUUAAAUUUUUAUAAUAUUAAAUUUUUAUUUUGAAAAUUUUAUAAUUUAUAUUGUUAAUAAAUUUUAUUUUGUUAUAAAUAAUUUCAUUUUUUUUAAAAUUUAAAUUUUAUUUAAUUUUUUAUAUAAAAUUUAUUUAUAAUUAUAUAAAGUUAAUUAUAAUGAUAAAAUUAGUAUAUUAUUUAAUAUUAAAUUAAAAUUAAUUUUUGAUUAAUAAUUAAAUUAAUUAAAAGGAAUUCGGCAAAUAUUUAUUUUCACUUGUUUAUCAAAAACAUGUCUUUUUGUUACUUAAUUUAAAGUCUAAUCUGCCCACUGAUUUAUAAAAAUUGAAGGGCUGCAGUAUAUUGACUGUACAAAGGUAGCAUAAUCAUUAGUCUCUUAAUUGGUGACUUGUAUGAAAGAUUGGAUGAAAAAUAUACUGUCUCUUAAUUAAUAUAUAGAAUUUAAUUUUUUAUUUAAAAAGUUAAAAUAAUUUAAAAAGACGAGAAGACCCUAUAGAGUUUAAUAAAUUAUUUUAUGAAAGUUUUAUUUAUAUUUACUAAUAAUUUUAUAAAUUUAUUUAUUUUGUUGGGGUGAUAAAAAAAUAAAUUUAACUUUUUUUAAGUAAUUUACAUGAAUAAGUGAUUAAU
Molecule: ribosomal RNA, 1050 nt
Filed under: Biston falcata
Lineage: Eukaryota; Metazoa; Arthropoda; Insecta; Lepidoptera; Geometridae
Description: partial 16S ribosomal RNA
Source: RNAcentral